Molecule: ribosomal RNA, 405 nt
Filed under: uncultured bacterium
Lineage: Bacteria
Description: partial 16S ribosomal RNA
Rfam family: Bacterial small subunit ribosomal RNA
Source: RNAcentral
AUAUUGCGCAAUGGGGGGAACUCUGACGCAGCGACGCCGCGUGAGCGAUGAAGGUCUUCGGAUCGUAAAGCUCUGUCCUUGGGGAAGAAGGUCUUCGGACUUGACGGUACCUAAGGAGGAAUGCCCGGCUAACUACGUGCCAGCAGCCGCGGUAAGACGUAGGGGGAAAGCGUUGUCCGGGAUUUUUGGGCGUAAAGGGUGCGUAGGCGGCCUUUUAAGUCAGAUGUGAAAGACCACGGCUUAACCGUGGGGUUGCAUUUGAAACUGGAGGGCUUGAGUAUCGGAGAGGGUAGUGGAAUUCCCAUUGUAGCGGUGGAAUGCGUAGAUAUUGGGAGGAACACCAGUGGCGAAGGCGACUACCUGGACGAAAACUGACGCUGAGGCACGAAAGCUAGGGGAGCAAAC